Molecule: transfer RNA, 73 nt
Filed under: Capra hircus (goat)
Lineage: Eukaryota; Metazoa; Chordata; Mammalia; Artiodactyla; Bovidae
Also listed under: 1 other name
Rfam family: tRNA
About the family: Transfer RNA (tRNA) molecules are approximately 80 nucleotides in length. Their secondary structure includes four short double-helical elements and three loops (D, anti-codon, and T loops).
Source: Rfam by way of RNAcentral
UUCCUGAUGGCUGAGAUGGUAAAGAAUCUGCCUGCAAUGCAGGAGACCCAGGUUCAGUCUCUAGGUUGGGAAG